GAUGAACGCUAGCGGGAGGCUUAACACAUGCAAGUCGAGCGGCAAUCCCGAGCAAUCGGGACUAGAGCGGCGCACGGGUGAGUAACGCGUAUGCAACCUGCCUUUUACAGGGGGAUAGCCCGGAGAAAUCCGGAUUAAUACCCCAUGGAACUAUAAAGCCGCAUGGUUUAAUAGUUAAAGAUUUAUCGGUAAGAGAUGGGCAUGCGUGACAUUAGCUAGUUGGCGGGGUAACGGCCCACCAAGGCUACGAUGUCUAGGGGUUCUGAGAGGAUGAUCCCCCACACUGGUACUGAGACACGGACCAGACUCCUACGGGAGGCAGCAGUGAGGAAUAUUGGUCAAUGGGCGCAAGCCUGAACCAGCCAUCCCGCGUGAAGGAUGAAUGUACUAUGUAUUGUAAACUUCUUUUCUGCAAAGAGAAAGGGCACUAACGUGUAGUGUUUUGACGGUAUUGCAGGAAUAAGCAUCGGCUAACUCCGUGCCAGCAGCCGCGGUAAA
RNAcentral lists this ribosomal RNA (498 nucleotides) under uncultured bacterium. RNAcentral's name for it is "bacterial SSU rRNA". It matches the Rfam family "Bacterial small subunit ribosomal RNA", at positions 28 to 524 of the family's 1533-position model. The record is from RNAcentral.